Molecule: transfer RNA, 72 nt
Filed under: Halorarum halophilum
Lineage: Archaea; Methanobacteriati; Methanobacteriota; Halobacteria; Halobacteriales; Haloferacaceae
Description: Halobaculum halophilum tRNA
Rfam family: tRNA
About the family: Transfer RNA (tRNA) molecules are approximately 80 nucleotides in length.
Source: Rfam by way of RNAcentral
GCCGAGUUGGUGUAGUGGCUAUCAUCGUGGCUUGUCACGCCACGGACACGGGUUCGAGUCCCGUACUCGGCG